RNAcentral lists this transfer RNA (74 nucleotides) under Planktothrix agardhii. Its description in RNAcentral is "tRNA-Asn". It matches the Rfam family "tRNA". Rfam says of the family: Transfer RNA (tRNA) molecules are approximately 80 nucleotides in length. RNAcentral also lists the same sequence under 4 other names. Lineage: Bacteria; Bacillati; Cyanobacteriota; Cyanophyceae; Oscillatoriales; Microcoleaceae. The record is from RNAcentral.
UUCCUCGGUAGCUCAGUGGUAGAGCGAUCGGCUGUUAACCGAUUGGUCGUAGGUUCGAAUCCCACCCGAGGAGU